GCCCAGUUAGCUCAGUUAGAGCGUCGUGCUAAUAACGCGAAGGUCGCGGGUUCGAUCCCCUCAUGGGCCA
This 70-nucleotide transfer RNA is filed under the name Atta cephalotes. It matches the Rfam family "tRNA". From Rfam's summary of the family: Transfer RNA (tRNA) molecules are approximately 80 nucleotides in length. Their secondary structure includes four short double-helical elements and three loops (D, anti-codon, and T loops). Lineage: Eukaryota; Metazoa; Arthropoda; Insecta; Hymenoptera; Formicidae. The record is from Rfam by way of RNAcentral.